GAAGCGAGUGGGCCCUCGAAAUCCUUUCGUCGAGGGGGAAUUCAGUCCGCGGUCUGACGCGUUCGGACUUCGGGCAGGGACGUAGCUCCACCGAGUUCUUCGGGGGGAGGGAUCCGCCCGAGGUCGCUGUGCGCUCGACGCGGGGAUGCAUUUUCCCCCGGCGUUGGAGGACGCCGCAGCCGAUCGGGUGAUCUUGAAGUCCGCGAGCGUCGCGCGCAAUACCGCCAGUAGCCGAGGUCGUCGCUAGCCGCGGGUCCGCAGAGGUGCGUCACCCACCUGGGCCCGGGGUCAGGCGGCGUCUGAGGCAGGGCGAGCGCCUCGCGCGGGCACCCGAUCGUGAGAGAAGGGUUCGUUGAGAGUCGGGGGGCGCAAGAACGCCCCCCGGAAGCCGCGGCGAUCCCGCUCCGGGAGAAGUGCCGGCACGGGUCUCUGUUAUUUAUUGAAGUGCCGGUCCUCCGCGGGGUCCCCGGGCCCCCGUCCGCGGGGUCCGGGGGUCGUGGCCGAAGGGACGCAGUCGAUGCCGCGAGUCCUGCUGUUGAGCCCCUCUCGAGGUGGAGCAUCGGGGACGGAACGUUUCGCGGGGCUGUACGAGACCUCGGCCCGAGGAGUGGGGGAUCCGAAGGCUGGCGGCGAAGUAGGUCGGUCGCCCACCCGUCCCGUCUUGAAACACGGACCGAGGAGUCUAACGUGUGCGCGAGUCAGUGGGACUUGGCCAUGCCCACGGGCGCAGCGAGAGCGAGACCGGAAGUCGACGCAGUCAAUGCGACGGCCGCGAUCCCCGGAUGAGAGAGCCGGCGGAGCAGCGGCGGCCCGCCCCCGCGCACGAGUGGCCGGGGCGGCGUCGGAGCGCACAGGUUGGUACCCGAAAGUAGGUGAUCUAUACUUGGGCUCGGUCGAGGCCAGGGGAAACCCUGAUGGAGGACCGCAGGGGUUCUGACGUGCAAAUCGAUCCCUCGACCUGGGCAUGGG
Molecule: ribosomal RNA, 969 nt
Filed under: Calileptoneta sp. undet. JL-2011
Lineage: Eukaryota; Metazoa; Arthropoda; Arachnida; Araneae; Leptonetidae
Description: eukaryotic LSU rRNA
Rfam family: Eukaryotic large subunit ribosomal RNA (bases 673-969)
Source: RNAcentral